Hordeum vulgare subsp. vulgare (domesticated barley) is the source of this 2338-nucleotide RNA transcript. RefSeq lists it as uncharacterized. The record is from RefSeq and is a predicted model, not a curated record. Lineage: Eukaryota; Viridiplantae; Streptophyta; Magnoliopsida; Poales; Poaceae. The transcript has 7 exons.
UCCCAUCAGUUUCUUUCAUCACAAUGGCUCCUUCCCCUCCACCCCAUGCCCAUGGCAGAGGAGCAGAGCACCAAGCUCGCCUUCCUGACUGAACCAAUCCAGCCCGCCUCCCUCCCUCCCUCCCUUCCUUCCCCCAAACAAUCGAGCAUCCUCGUCCGCCGCCGCUGAGCCAAGGCCUACGGGUGAGGAAGGAUUAGAAACCCUCUCUUUCUUGGAUUUGGAGUCGAUUUUGCUCCGGUUCUUGCUCUCUGCCCGGCACGCGUGCGUUCGUCCGUUCCCUGAGGGUUUCUGCACUCGCAGAGCACUGAUCGCGGCCUCGUUUCCAUCUUGUUGGCACCUGCAAGUUGGAAGGGGGCAAGCAGGCUGGAGGCGGAGUGACAAGAGACGAAGCAGAGGUUGUUGCUGUGGCAAGUCAAAGGCUUUCUGGCAUCCAUCCUGUCAGCUGGCGACAAUGGCUCUGAUAGAUUUCAUAGAGCUGAGAGAUGAUGAUAUUGAUAUCAUUGAAUUGAGCAGCGAUGAGGACACUGUUCAAAAGGAUCAGAUUGCAGCUCAACACCGGGCGGCGUUGCUUGAUAGGCAGGGUAUGUUUUUCCCAACUGCUGAAGGAAGCCAAGGGGUGCAGGCCGUGUUUGUUGCAGCUGGUAAAGGAAGUCAAGAUGUGCAGGCCAUGUUUGUUGCAACCAGUGAAGGAAGUCAAGAUGUGCAGCCAGUGUUUGUUGCAGCUAGUGAAGGAAAGCAAGAAGCUGGUGAGCCCGGACAUGCUUUGGAAGCUACCUCAUCGUCCAUGGUUAUGGAGAAAGCACCUCCUGUUGCAGGUAGUGAAGGAAGUGAAGAUGUGCAGGCUGUGUCUGUUGCAGCUGGUGAAGGAGGGCAGGAGGCUGGUGAGUCCGGACAUGCUUUGGAAGCUACCGCACCGUCCAUGGUUAUGGAGAAAACAACUCUUGUUGCAGCUAGUGAAGGAAGCCAAGAUGUGCAGGCUGUAUUAGUUGCAGCUGGUGAAGGAGGGCAGGAGGCUGCUGAGUCUGGACAUGCCUUGGAAGCUACCACAUUGUCCUUGGUUACAGAAACACCACCUCUUGAUACGGCUAAAUCACCGUACUGUCAUCCCUCUCCAACAUCAGCGCCAUUGCCCAGCCUGACUUCCACCACUCCGAAAGCUCAGACUUUUGAAGGUGGUGACGCAAAGUCAAGGAGAGUGAAGAGGAAACGUCGUAAGAAGAACUACCAUACCGACACUCCUAGGAAAAGUCCUAGGCUUAUACAGAUGGGUGAAUGUUGUGCCAGUCCUGUGGAAGAGCCAGCAGCCGACCACAAGAGGUCUCGCAUGCUUGGGCCAGCAGAAGAAGCAACCGCCUCUACCGACUCAGCUGAAACAGUUGUCCUCGCUCUGCCACAUGCUGGAUCAACGAAUUGUCUUCGCUCUCCAACAUCAGCGACAUUCCCCAGUCUGACUUCCAUCAGUACUAAAGUUAUGACUUCUGAAGGCGGCGACGCAAAGCUGGUGAGCAGGAGGGUGAAACAUCCUGAGAGGAACUACCAUAUCUUGUCCUUGGUUAUGGAAAAACCACCUCUUGGUACGGUUGUCCUUGCUCUCCAACAUGCUGAAUCGCCGAAUUGUCCUCGCCCUCCAACAUCAGCGCCAAUCUUGUCAUUACAGCUGUGUGUUUUAUCAUGCAAACAAUCCAUAAAAAGUCCGACUUCCACCAGUCCGAAGGCUCUGUCCUCAGAAGGUGGCGACACAAAGCUGGUGAGCGGGAAGGUGAAACAUCGUAGGAAGAACUGCCAACCCUGCAAACUAACUCCUUAGACUGAAUCUUUCUAACUUCCACUGCUGUAGUUGCUCUCAUGUGUAACCACCCUUGUUGCAUCUGAAGUGCGAUCUGAGCCCGCGUUGCCCCAUCUCUCUGCAUUCAUUUAGAAUGCAAGUUGUGGGUGAUUUUGGACUUGUUUUGUCAAGUGCAUCACAGAAUUGGGUGGUAUUUUGGCGAACCUGGAAAUGGCGCGCAGCUGCUGUUACGUGGGAGCUUAGGAAACUAGUUGGGCUUCUUUGCCAUCUUGGCUCCAAGCUGAGAUAUAACCAAACCUACAGUAGAUUGAAAAUUAUGAAUGGAGCGUGAGUUUGACCUGCGCACCUGCUAAUGUUACUUGCCGUGGUUCAGAAUACAAGCUUUUGGAGCAUGAUAUUUCUGCCUUGAAAGUUCGUUUUUUUAUGGUUUUGCGAAGACUUGGAACUUCUUUUAGAAUUAUUGUCGGUUUAAUGCUAGCUAUGAAGGGAUAGUUGUAGACAUGAACAUAUGCAUCUUACAAAAACUGGAAGAGAGCGGGCAUUAGUUUGUGA